This 484-nucleotide ribosomal RNA is filed under the name uncultured bacterium. RNAcentral describes it as "partial 16S ribosomal RNA". It matches the Rfam family "Bacterial small subunit ribosomal RNA", at positions 28 to 523 of the family's 1533-position model. The record is from RNAcentral.
GAUGAACGCUGGCGGCGUGCUUAACACAUGCAAGUCGAACGAUGAACCCGGAGCUUGCUCCGGCGGAUUAGUGGCGAACGGGUGAGUAACACGUGAGUAACCUGCCCUUGACUCUGGGAUAACUGCUAGAAAUGGUAGCUAAUACCGGAUACGACCCUUGGUGGCAUCACCAGGGGGUGGAAAGAAUUUCGGUCAAGGAUGGACUCGCGGCCUAUCAGCUAGUUGGUGAGGUAACGGCUCACCAAGGCGACGACGGGUAGCCGGCCGGAGAGGGUGACCGGCCACACUGGGACUGAGAUACGGCCCAGACUCCGACGGGAGGCAGCAGUGGGGAAUAUUGCACAAUGGGCGCAAGCCUGAUGCAGCGACGCCGCGUGAGGGAUGACGGCCUUCGGGUUGUAAACCUCUUUCAGUAGGGACGAAGCGCAAGUGACGGUACCUACAGAAGAAGGACCGGCCAACUACGUGCCAGCCGCCGCCGUAA